RNAcentral lists this long non-coding RNA (9480 nucleotides) under Prunus persica (peach). Its description in RNAcentral is "long non-coding RNA (PPER_LNC008550)". The record is from RNAcentral. Lineage: Eukaryota; Viridiplantae; Streptophyta; Magnoliopsida; Rosales; Rosaceae.
CUCCCGCAAUAUUAUGAUGUUCCCCAAGUUUUGGACUCAAUCCGAUAUCGAUCGGUCCACGAAAUUUGACAAUUCAGGUUCGUACGAAGUUUGUUCUGAAAUGGGGUGGUUGGUGUAUUGUCUAGUUGUAGGGAUUGUAUUUCACUCAAAACUUACCAAAUGACUCCUCCCACAAUAUUAUGAUGUUCCUUAAGUUUUGGACUCAAUCCGAUAUCGAUUGGUCCUUGAAAUCGGACAAUUCAGGUUCGUACGAAGUUCGUUCUGAAAUGGGGUGGUUGGUGUAUUGUAUAGUUCUCGAGAUUGGAUUUCACUCAAAACCCACUAAAUGACUCCUCCCACAAUAUGAUGUUCCCCAAGUUUGGACUCAAUCCGAUAUCGAGUGGUCACGAAAUUGACAAAUCAGGUUCGUACGAAGUUCGUUCUGAAAUGGAGUGGUUGGUGUAUUGUUUAGUUCUAGGGAUUGUAUUUCACUCAAAACUUACCAAAUGACUCCUCCCACAAUAAUUAGAAGUUCCCCUAGUUUUGGACUCAAUUCGAUAUCGAUUGGUAAUUUGAAAUCGGACAAUUCAGGUUCGUACGAAGUUUGUUCUGAAAUGGGGUGGUUAGUGUAUUGUAUAGUUCUAGGGAUUGUGUUUCACACAAAACUUACCAAAUGACUCCUCCCACAAUAUUAUGAUGUUCCCCAAGUUUUGGACUCAAUCCGAUAUCGAUUGGUCCUUGAAAUCGGACAAUUCAGGUUCGUACGAAGUUCGUUCUGCAAUGGGGUGGUUGGUGUAUUGUAUAGUUCUGGAGAUUGGAUUUGACUCAAAACCCACCAAAUGACUCCUCCCACAACAUUAUGAUGUUCCCCAAGUUUUGCACUCAAUCCGAUAUCGAUUGGUCCUCAAAAUCGGACAAUUCAGGUUCGUACGAAGUUCGUUCUGAAAUGGGGUGGUUGGUGUAUUGUANNNNNNNNNNNNNNNNNNNNNNNNNNNNNNNNNNNNNNNNNNNNNNNNNNNNNNNNNNNNNNNNNNNNNNNNNNNNNNNNNNNNNNNNNNNNNNNNNNNNNNNNNNNNNNNNNNNNNNNNNNNNNNNNNNNNNNNNNNNNNNNNNNNNNNNNNNNNNNNNNNNNNNNNNNNNNNNNNNNNNNNNNNNNNNNNNNNNNNNNNNNNNNNNNNNNNNNNNNNNNNNNNNNNNNNNNNNNNNNNNNNNNNNNNNNNNNNNNNNNNNNNNNNNNNNNNNNNNNNNNNNNNNNNNNNNNNNNNNNNNNNNNNNUGAAAUGUGGUGGUUGGUGUAUUGUAUAGUUUUAGGGAUUGUAUUUCACUCAAAACUUACCAAAUGACUCCUCCCACAAUAUUAUGCUGUUCUCCAAGUUUUGGACUCAAUCCGAUAUCGAUCGGUCCUCGAAAUUUGACAAUUCGGUUUCGUCCGAAGUUCGUUCUAAAAUGGAGUGGUUGGUGUAUUGUAUAGUUCUAGGGAUUCUAUUUCACUCAAAACCCACCAAAUGACUCCUCCCACAAUAUUAUGAUGUUCCCCAAGUUUUGGACUCAAUCCGAUAUCGAUUGGUCCUUGAAAUCGGACAAUUCAAGCUCGUACGAAGUUCGUUCCAAAAUGGGGUGGUUGGUGUAUUGUAUAGUUCUAGAGAUUGGAUUUCACUCAAAACCCACCCAAUGACUCCUCCCACAAUAUUAUGAUGUUCCCCAAGUUUUGGACUCAAUCCGAUAUCGAUUGGUCCUUGAAAUCGGACAAUUCAGGUUCCUACGAAGUUCGUUCUCAAAUGGGGUGGUUGGUGUAUUGUAUAGUUCUAGGGAUUGUAUUUCACUCAAAACUUACCAAAUGACUCCUCCCACAAUAUUAUGAUGUUCCUUAAGUUUUGGACUCAAUCCGAUAUCCAUUGGUCCUUGAAAUCGGACAAUACAGGUUCGUACGAAGUUCGUUCUGAAAUGGGGUGGUUGGUGUAUUGUAUAGUUCUCGAGAUUGGAUUUCACUCAAAACCCACUAAAUGACUCCUCCCACAAUAUUAUGAUGUUCCCCAAGUUUUGGACUCAAUCCGAUAUCGAGUGGUCCACGAAAUUUGACAAUUCAGGUUCCUCCGAAGUUCGUUCUGAAAUGGAGUGGUUGCUGUAUUGUUUAGUUCUAGGGAUUGUAUUUCACUCAAAACUUACCAAAUGACUCCUCCCACAAUAUUAUGAUGUUCCCCUAGUUUUGGACUCAAUCCGAUAUCGAUUGGUAAUUUGAAAUCGGAGAAUUCAGGUUCGUACGAAGUUUGUUCUGAAAUGGGGUGGUUAGUGUAUUGUAUAGUUCUAGGGAUUGUAUUUCACUCAAAACUUACGAAAUGACUCCUCCCACAAUAUUAUGAUGUUCCCCAAGUUUUGGACUCAAUCCGAUAUCGAUUGGUCCUUGAAAUCGGACAAUUCAGGUUCCUACGAAGUUCGUUCUGAAAUGUGGUGGUUGGUGUAUUGCAUAGUUCUCGAGGUUGGAUUUCACUCAUAACCCACCAAAUGACUCCUCCCACAAUAUUAUGCUGUUCCCCAAGUUUUGGACUCAAUCCGAUAUCGAUUGGUCCCUGAAAUCGGACAAUUCAGGUUCCUACGAAGUUCGUUCUGAAAUGGGGUGGUUGAUGUAUUGUAUAGUUCUGGGGAUUGUAUUUCACUCAAAACUUACCAAAUAACUCCUCCCACAAUAUUAUGAUGUUCCCCAAGUUUUGGACUCAAUCCGAUAUCGAUUGGUCCUUGAAAUCGGACACUUCAGGUUCGUACGAAGUUCGUUCUGAAAUGUGGUGGUUGGUGUAUUGCAUAGUUCUCGAGAUUGGAUUUCACUCAAAACCCACCCAAUGACUCCUCCCACAAUAUUAUGCUGUUCCCCAAGUUUUGGACUCAAUCCGAUAUCGAUCGGUCCACGAAAUUUGACAAUUCAGUUUCGUCCGAAGUUCGUUCUAAAAUGGAGUGGUUGGUGUAUUGUAUAGUUCUAGGGAUUCUAUUUCACUCAAAACCCACCAAAUGACUCCUCCCACAAUAUUAUGAUGUUCCCCAAGUUUUGGACUCAAUCCGAUAUCGAUUGGUCCUUGAAAUCGGACAAUUCAAGCUCGUACGAAGUUCGUUCCAAAAUGGGGUGGUUGGUGUAUUGUAUAGUUCUAGAGAUUGGAUUUCACUCAAAACCCACCCAAUGACUCCUCCCACAAUAUUAUGAUGUUCCCCAAGUUUUGGACUCAAUCCGAUAUCGAUUGGUCCUUGAAAUCGGACAAUUCAGGUUCCUACGAAGUUCGUUCUCAAAUGGGGUGGUUGGUGUAUUGUAUAGUUCUAGGGAUUGUAUUUCACUCAAAACUUACCAAAUGACUCCUCCCACAAUAUUAUGAUGUUCCUUAAGUUUUGGACUCAAUCCGAUAUCCAUUGGUCCUUGAAAUCGGACAAUUCAGGUUCGUACGAAGUUCGUUCUGAAAUGGGGUGGUUGGUGUAUUGUAUAGUUCUCGAGAUUGGAUUUCACUCAAAACCCACUAAAUGACUCCUCCCACAAUAUUAUGAUGUUCCCCAAGUUUUGGACUCAAUCCGAUAUCGAGUGGUCCACGAAAUUUGACAAAUUAUGAUGUUCCCCAGGUUUUGGACUCAAUCCGAUAUCGAUUGGUGAAUGAAAUCGGACAAUUCAACGUCGUAUGAAGGUCGUUCUGAAAUGGAAUGGUUGGUGUAUUGUAUAGUUGUAGGGAUUGGAUUUCGCCCAAAAGCCACCAAAUGACUCCUCCCACAAUAUCAUGAGGUUCCCCAAGUUUUGGACUCAAUUCGAUAUCGAUUGGUCCGGGAAAUCAGAGAAUUCAAGUUCAUACGAAUUUCGAUCUGAAAUGGAGUGGUUGGUGUAUUGUAUAGCUCUAGAGAUUGGAUUUCACUCAAAACCCACCAAAUGACAACUCCCACAAUAUUAUGAUGUUCCCCAAGUUUUGGACUCAAUCCGAUAUCGAUUGGUCCUUGAAAUCGGACAAUUCAGGUUCGUACGAAGUUCGUUCUGAAAUGGGGUGGUUGGUGUAUUGUAUAGUUCUAGAUUUUCGAUUUCACUCAAAACCCACCAAAUGACUCCUCCCACAAUAUUACGAUGUUCCCCAAGUUUUGCACUCAAUCCGAUAUCGAUUGGUCCAUCAAUUUGGCCAAUUCCGGUUCGUGCGAACUGUGUUCUGAAAUGGAGUGGUUGGUCUAUUGCACAGUUCUAAAGAUUGGAUUUCACUCAAAAUCCACCAAAUGACUCCUUCCACAAUAUUAUGAUGUUCCCUAAUGUUGUGUUCCUUCCAAGUGCCAAUAUAUGGUUAGUAUAAUGGUACAAGUAAGGGUGUCGAACCACAGGGACCGAUUGGACCUCUAUAAAUUACUAGUUUUGAAAGAACCCUAACUAAAAAUGAAAGUGACAAUUUGAAAGUAGUUUUUGUGUUGUAAAUGAAAAAUAACUUCCAAUGCAAAAAGAAUGUAGUAGUGAAUAAUAUAUUGAUGUAGAAAGAAUAGGGAAGAGACCAGGGAUUUCGAAUUCACCAUUGCAAAACUAAUUCCAUGUUUAUAAAAUUAAACCGUACUCAACUACCAUUCUGUUUCCAGAGUUCGUUUUACAUAUAUAUGAUCAGCCAUAUGAUGUGUGGUUUUGAUCAAAUUCUCCUAAUCUGCAACCUAGUUGGGAUGUUCAACUUUGGUUCCAAGUUAAGAGUCAUUAGCAUGCAAGAAAAUGUUAAAGAACCAAAGAAAAUACACAGCAUGAUGUUUGCAUAGCAUUCUCUUCAUUCAUUCACAUGUCUAACAAGAUUAAGCAUGAUGUUUACUAUAACCUUGUCUAGAUAAUCUGUAGGCGACUCUAAUGGUGAUCAAACAUUAAAAUUGACAAACAAAUUGAACAAUAGAUUCAGUGAAUGAAACAAGAAACAAAUUGAUGAACUGAAUACUUUAACUUAGAAACAUGGAUCCAUGUUGCAAGGCUACAUCGAAAUCCCUAGCUAUGAAUUUAGUUACACAUCAUGUUCAAAGAGAUUAAAACAAAAAUAAACAACAUGAGUGAAAAUAAAUUCAUGAGAGGAAACCCUUGGACCAAUUAUGAUGUUCAACUUCUCCAAGAACCACCUCUUGCGCUGAGUCCUGAUGGUGGAAAUAUAUGGACGGCUAGGGUUUUAGUGUGCAUGAAAGGAGAGAAUAACCAAGAAGUCAGAUCUAGGGUUGUGAAAUUCGUCCAAAAUAAAUAGGGGUUUUAGAAGUGGCUAAAAGGCAAGUUUUUAUGGGGUAAACAAGGCUGCAAGAUGUUCCAAAGAUAUCCUAAUGAAUCAGCCUUUAUUUUGCACGUUUUUGCCGUAUUUGGCACCUCCAAAUCAGGCUAGAAAUCCCCAUUGCUUUCCCAUUCCGCUCUUAGUCUUCAAACAAGCCAGGUUCGCCUUGCAUUCUUUAUUUGGACUUCAAAACAGAUCACGAAACUUGUUUCCACGUUUGAAUAAGGGUCAGCUCCAAAAAUGGCAUGUUUUCAUUUCUUUUGCCUUCAACUUGAUCCUAAAGUAUAUGCAACUGCAUACUAACACAAAAUAGGAUAAAACGCAACAAGUUUAACUCAAAAACAUCACAAAUAUACUAGAAAUGGAUGGUAUAAAUGUAUAAAUAUAUGAGUUAUCACCUAAGUUUUGGACUUGAUAAGUUCAUAAUUUCACACAUUUGCAUGCCUUCUUUCCUUAGUAAUUUUGUUAGCUUCUCUUUAUUUUGAGUCUCUUACCUAUGUUUGUGUGCUUUGUAGGUUAAGAUAGCAAGGGGAUGACAUUUGAUAUAAUUCAUGCAUGUUAAGGGCUGAGUGGCACAAGAGGAAUAUGAGCUUAAAGACAAAACCAAUUUGUGCCACACUCCUUGUCAGUCCAGUUUCGUAGGUCAUCUUGCAGGCCUCAUUUCAGUAACUUACACAGGUCGGAUGAGGAGACAUCCUUCCUAGAAGUUGUUCCAAUGGGUGUCUAUUAUAACAUAUCCAAAUUGCAGCCCAAUUGGAUAAAUCUGGAGCCAUCAACACGUCAAAGACUGAACCAAGUUCACAGAAAUGUCAUGUUGGCUGCCAUCAUAUUUAAUGUGGCUACAUCCCUAGAGCCAUGUGCUACACAUUAGAGCAGCCACACAUGGGAGACAAAUCAGUAUGGGAACUCAAAAACCAAGAAAAGUCCAACAGGCAAGUAUGGGCAGCUGGAGCAACAGGCAAGUAUGGGCAGCUGGAGCAACAGGCAUGUAUGGGCAGCUAGAGCAGUUGGCAGCAGCUAAGAGAGGUGUGCUUCACCAGCCAAAGGGGAGCACGAAUUCGCACUCUAUAAAUAGAGAGUUGAACACUCAUUCAAGGAGAGAGAGGGCAGACACACACAUUCAUUUCAUCCAUUACUUUCAUACACACAUUCAGAUUCACCACAAAGAGAGAAGGGAGCUUGGAGCUGUCCUGGGAACUUCCUCGCUGCCAUCAUCUAGUUCUUCUCGUCUCUUUAUCCUAUCUAUGUAUUUCUUAUUUUCUGUAUUUAUAGUUAUGUCUAACUAAUCCAUUUAGUUAGGGCUUAGGAUGAAGCCCUAGUCAUGAAUAUUCAAUGUUAUGGAUGAUUUUAUAGUUAAUUGAUUUCCUUGCUUUUAUUAUCAAGUUGUUAAUCUCUAGUUUAUUAUGUGCUUGAUGUAUGUUCUCUUGGAGUAGCUAACUAGGAUUUUAUGCAUCUAGCACAGGUUGGGAAGGGGUUUAGAUUCACCAAUUCUACUCUCCUUUCACAAGCAACACAUGAAUGGCCUAAGAAUCAUUGAAGGGGUUAAUAACCAUAGGUUGACUAGGACAGAUACCAUGUUCUAGGACUUGUGUGAUUAUCAUAUUCUCAAGGAGCUUAAUGACUCUUGUAUGCUUUAUUCUAAGUAGAUACCAUGCUUAGGUUGCAUAUUAGAGAUCACGUGUUGUGUAGAUACCAUGCAUAAUCACAUGCCUUAGGAGAAUCAUGCAUCCUGCACCUAGAUACCAUAGGCUUGUAUAAGAUCUAAUGAAGCUUGAGUCAAUUUCUAUGCAUUCAUCACUUGGAUAGGAAAACUAGUGGUGGAUUCCAAGGCUCUAACACCUCUCCAUCAUUGUUUCACAACUUGUUGAUUGCUGCCAGUGUUUACUUUCGAGCACUUUCAUUUCACUUUCUUGUUUUCAUUUCAACAACAAAACCCCCCAUUUCGAGUGCGUGUGUGGUGCUAGGAUUCUGUCCUAGACCUUGAGUAAUUAGCAAGAGGCAUUGUUGAAUUUGACCUUGCCUUUAGCUAGUUAGUCAGUUUCUUUGUUCUAUGUUUUUCUAGCAUUCUAAGUAAUUUAACUUGGAACCAAGUUACCAUUCUCCGUGGGAUCGACCUCGUAUUUACAUAAGCUAUACUAUAAACGGUUCGUGCACUUGCGAGAAUUAAAGUUGCUGUUUUUAAUAACUCAUUUUAGUUGUUAAGAAUAGGCUCAACAGGACUCAAUCCGAUAUCGAUUGGUCCUCGAAAUCAGACAAUUCAGGUUCAUACGAAGUUCGUUCUGAAAUGGUGUGGUAGGUGUAUUGUAUAGUUCUAUUGAUUGUAUUUCACUCAAAACCAACCAAUUGACUCCUCCCACAAUAUUAUGUUGUUCCCCAAGUUUUGGACUCAAUCCGAUAUCGAUUGGUCAAUGAAAUCGGGCAAUUCAAGUUCGUACGAUGUUCGUUCUGAAAUGGAGUGGUUGGUGUAUUGUAUAGUUCUAGGGAUUGGAUUUCACUCAAAACCCACCAAAUGACUCCUCCCACAAUAUUAUGAUGUUCCCCGAGUUUUGGACUCAAUCGGAUAUCGAUUGGUCCUUGAAAUCGGACAAUUCAGGUUCGUACGAAGUUCGUUCGGAAAUGGAGUGGUUGGUGUAUUGUAUAGUUCUAGAGAUUGGAUUUCACUCAAAACCCACCAAAUGACUCCUCCCACAAUAUUAUGAUGUUCCCCAGGUUUUGGACUCAAUCCGAUAUAGAUUGGUCAAUGAAAUCGGACAAUUCAAGUUCGUAUGAAGGUCGUUCUGAAAUGGAGUGGUUGGUGCAUUGUAUAGCUGUAGGGAUUGGAUUUUACCCAAAAGCCACCAAAUGACAACUCCCACAAUAUUAUGAUGUUCCCCGAGUUUUGGACUCAAUCCGAUAUCGAUUGGUCCUUGAAAGCGGACAAUUCAGGUUCGUACGAAGUUCGUUCUGGAAAUGGGUUGGUUGGUGUAUUCUAUAGUUCUAGAGAUUGGAUUUUACCCAAAAGCCACCAAAUGACAACUCCCACAAUAUUAUGAUGUUCCCCGAGUUUUGGACUCAAUCCGAUAUCGAUUGGUCCUUGAAAUCGGACAAUUCAGGUUCGUACGAAGUUCGUUCAUAAAUGGGGUGGUUGGUGUAUUGUAUAGUUCUGGAGAUUGGAUUUUACCCAAAAGCCACGAAAUGACAACUCCCACAAUAUUAUGAUGUUCCCUGAGUUUUGGACUCAAUUUGAUAUCGAUUGGUCCUUGAAAUCGGACAAUUCAGGUUCGUACGAAGUUCGUUCAUAAAUGGGGUGGUUGGUGUAUUGUAUAGUUCUAGGGAUUGUAUUUCACAAAAAACCCACCAAAUGACUCUUCCCACAAUAUUAUGAUGUUCCCCAAGUUUUGGACUCAAUCUGAUAUCGAUCGGUCCACGAAAUUUGACAAUUCAGGUUCGUACGAAGUUCGUUCAGAAAUGGAGUGGUUGGUGUAUUGUAUAGUUGUAGGGAUUGGAUUUCACUCAAAAUCCACCAAAUGACUCCUCCCACAAUAUUAUGAUGUUCCCUAAGUUUUGGACUCAAUCCGAUAUCGAUUGGUCCUUGAAAUCGGACAAUUCAGGUUCAUACGAAGUUCGUUCGGAAAUAUAGUGGUUGGUGUAUUGUAUAGUUCUGGAGAUUGGAUUUUACUCAAAAGCCACCAAAUGACAACUCCCACAAUAUUAUGAUGUUCCCUGAGUUUUGGACUCAAUCCGAUAUCGAUUGGUCCUUGAAAUCGGACAAUUCAGGUUCGUACGAAGUUCGUUCAUAAAUGGGGUGGUUGGUGUAUUGUAUAGUUCUAGAGAUUGUAUUUCACUCAAAACCCACCAAAUGACUCCUCCCACAAUAUUAUGAUGUUCCCCAAGUUUUGGACUCAAUCCGAUAUCGAGUGGUCCACGAAAUUUGACAAUUCAGGUUCGUACGAAGUUCGUUCUGAAAUGGAGUGGUUGGUGUAUUGUAUAGUUCUAGGGAUUGUAUUUCACUCAAAACUUACCAAAUGACUCCUCCCACAAUAUUAUGAUUUGCUCCAAGUUUUGGACUCAAUCCGAUAUCGAUUGGUCCUUGAAAUCGGACAAUUCAAGUUCCUACGAAGUUCGUUCUGAAAUGGAGUGGUUGGUGUAUUGUAUAGUUCUAGGGAUUGUAUUUCACUCAAAACUUACCAAAUGACUCCUCCCACAAUAUUAUGAUGUUCCCCAAGUUUUGGACUCAAUCCGAUAUCGAUUGGUCCUUUCAAUCGGACAAUUCAGGUUCCUAUGAAGUUCGUUCUGAC